CCUACGGGAGGCAGCAGUAGGGAAUUUUGCGCAAUGGGCGAAAGCCUGACGCAGCAACGCCGCGUGAGGGAUGACGGUCCUAUGGAUUGUAAACCUCUUUUGUCGGGGAGCAAGGCCCGCCACGUGUGGCUGGAAGGAGAGUACCCGAAGAAAAAGCAUCGGCUAACUCCGUGCCAGCAGCCGCGGUAAUACGGAGGAUGCGAGCGUUAUCCGGAUUUAUUGGGUUUAAAGGGUGCGUAGGCGGAAGGUUAAUUCAGCGGUCAAAUGUCGGUGCUCAACACCGGCCUGCCGUUGAAACUGGUCUUCUUGAGUGAGCGAGAAGUAUGCGGAAUGCGUGGUGUAGCGGUGAAAUGCGUAGAUAUCACGCAGAACUCCGAUUGCGAAGGCAGCAUACCGGCGCUCAACUGACGCUGAGGCACGAAAGCGUGGGGAUCGAACAGGAUUAGAUACCCUUGUAGUC
RNAcentral lists this ribosomal RNA (460 nucleotides) under uncultured bacterium. RNAcentral's name for it is "partial 16S ribosomal RNA". It matches the Rfam family "Bacterial small subunit ribosomal RNA", at positions 338 to 795 of the family's 1533-position model. The record is from RNAcentral.